CGGGCCGAUCAUGAUGACGGGUGACUUAGGAGUUACAUAUGGUGAGUACUUGUGUGUCUGGAGCUCUAAGGUCUGA
Molecule: small nucleolar RNA, 76 nt
Filed under: Catagonus wagneri (Chacoan peccary)
Lineage: Eukaryota; Metazoa; Chordata; Mammalia; Artiodactyla; Tayassuidae
Description: Small nucleolar RNA SNORD113/SNORD114 family (ENSCWAG00000005104.1)
Rfam family: Small nucleolar RNA SNORD113/SNORD114 family
About the family: The imprinted human domain at 14q32 contains two clusters of tandemly repeated small nucleolar RNAs named 14q(I) and 14q(II) snoRNAs. These two clusters are named SNORD113 and SNORD114 respectively in the HGNC approved gene symbol nomenclature.
Source: Rfam by way of RNAcentral